UACGGGGGGGGGCAAGCGUUGUUCGGAAUUACUGGGCGUAAAGGGCGCGUAGGUGGCCAACUAAGUCAGACGUGAAAUCCCUCGGCUUAACCGGGGAACUGCGUCUGAUACUGGAUGGCUUGAGUGUGGGAGAGGGAUGCGGAAUUCCAGGUGUAGCGGUGAAAUGCGUAGAUAUCUGGAGGAACACCGGUGGCGAAGGCGGCAUCCUGGACCAUUACUGACACUGAAACGCGAAAGCCAGGGGAGCAAACGGG
Molecule: ribosomal RNA, 254 nt
Filed under: uncultured Acidobacteriota bacterium
Lineage: Bacteria; Pseudomonadati; Acidobacteriota
Description: uncultured Acidobacteria bacterium partial 16S ribosomal RNA
Rfam family: Bacterial small subunit ribosomal RNA
Source: RNAcentral